GACGAACGCUGGCGGCGUGCUUAACAUAUGCAAGUCGAGCGGUAAGGCCCUUUCGGGGGUACACGAGCGGCGAACGGGUGAGUAACACGUGGGUGACCUGCCCUCAGCUCUGGGAUAAGCCUGGGAAACCGGGUCUAAUACUGGAUAUGACUCCAUGACGCAUGUUGUGGGGUGGAAAGCCUUGUGCGGCUGAGGAUGGGCCCGCGGCCUAUCAGCUUGUUGGUGGGGUGANGGCCUACCAAGGCGACGACGGGUAGCCGGCCUGAGAGGGCGACCGGCCACACUGGGACUGAGACACGGCCCAGACUCCUACGGGAGGCAGCAGUGGGGAAUCUUGCGCAAUGGGCGAAAGCCUGACGCAGCGACGCCGCGUGAGGGAUGACGGCCU
RNAcentral lists this ribosomal RNA (388 nucleotides) under uncultured bacterium. Its description in RNAcentral is "bacterial SSU rRNA". It matches the Rfam family "Bacterial small subunit ribosomal RNA", at positions 28 to 417 of the family's 1533-position model. The record is from RNAcentral.